CCGGCACCGCUCUGAAGCCGCCCCGCUCGGGACCUCUGCUGCCCACUCCUCGGAUACUGCUCCCCUUCUGCCCAGGGGGGCCUCCCCGCCCCCACUGCAGGCACCCUGGGGAAAAGGCUGAGACGCGUCCCAGGGACACAGCUGGACCCGUCACUCCCAGACAGCAGUCUCCACUCUUGCCUCUCCGGGCUCCCCGCCCAAUUGUCAGCCAGCCUGCCUUCCGCCUGUGCUGCUCCUGCUGCACCCACCUUGUCCCCGCACGUCUGCACAGCCACUGCGAUGACACCCCGGGGGCCGGGCCCGCUCUCGUGCUGGCCACAGAGGGAAGGACACAAGGACCACCCUUGUUGCCUGGCACCGUGGACACAGCUGGGUGAAGCGGGAGCGUGGGCUGGGGGUAAGUCUGCGCUGGGUUUGAACCUCAGGUCUCCUGUUCAGAAUGAAGAGGGUGCCAGCGAACUGUGCACAAUUCCACACACAUUCUGCUUCGGCCGUUGUCUCUGCAUCAUUCAUCAGGCUGAAAACGAUCUCUACACUGGCAUUUGGGAGAGCAGUCGGUGGCCCAAACCAAGUACACCAGCAGUCAGCUCAAAAGAAACAGCCUGAAGCGUGUGGUGUAAAUGGAACGCGUGGUGUGGGCGUCCAUAUCACAGAGCCCUUCUCAAACUUGGGGGUGCCUCACGUCAGCUGGAGGUUCGUGGAAUUGCAGGGGCUGGGCCACCCCUGCAGCUGGUGACUCAGUAGGCCUGAGGUGGGCCUGCCGGUUUGCAUUUCCAGCAAACUUCCACUGAAUGCUGAUGCUGUGGUUGGGGACCACAUCACCCUCACAGCAACUGCGCUGCUCUAUUUAUAAACCCCAUCCUGUCGAUAAUUUUAA
Talpa occidentalis (Iberian mole) is the source of this 877-nucleotide long non-coding RNA. RefSeq lists it as uncharacterized. The record is from RefSeq and is a predicted model, not a curated record. The transcript is spliced from 3 exons. NCBI's taxonomy places the organism in Eukaryota, Metazoa, Chordata, Mammalia, Eulipotyphla, Talpidae.